GAGAAUGAAUUUCAUUCUCUCCCUUCAUCAACCAACCUCUACCCAUAAACAAAACUUCCCUUACCUUAUAAAAGAAGGAGAAAGAAAGUGGAAUGGUUCUUGAUAGAGCUCCUAGAUCUUCUUCUAGCUCCAACCCUUUUUCCUCUUCACUUUGAACCCAACUCUUUUUCUCUUAAACCCUUCAUCCUCAUGAAGUUCUUUCUCUUUGGAACUCUCCUUUCUCUUUUCUACAAUUCACUCUUUUUCUUCUCUGCUCUUUCUUGCUCCCUUUCUCUAUUCUUUCUUAUGAGUUACAAAUGAAUCUCUCCCUCAAUGGUCAUAAGACCUAGGGUUUUCUACUACUCUUAAGGCCAAUUACCAAAAAUGCCCUCCUCACUUAAUGGACUUAUUAUUCCCACUCCACUUUAAUGGACCUCACCUCCCCUAACUCUCUAGCCCAACUAGUAAAUAGCUCAAUUAAUAUGCUAAGUGAAACUCACAAAUAUGUUACUCAAUUACAUCAAUUAAAGUAAUACUACCAAUAAUUUCGCCACAUCAUCAUUUUCUAUUAAAUCAGAAAUUAUCGAAAUUGGGGUGUUACAG
RNAcentral lists this long non-coding RNA (582 nucleotides) under Trifolium pratense (red clover). RNAcentral describes it as "long non-coding RNA (TPRA_LNC004680)". The record is from RNAcentral. Lineage: Eukaryota; Viridiplantae; Streptophyta; Magnoliopsida; Fabales; Fabaceae.